RNAcentral lists this transfer RNA (85 nucleotides) under Pseudomonas sp. RNAcentral describes it as "tRNA-Leu(tag)". It matches the Rfam family "tRNA". Rfam says of the family: Transfer RNA (tRNA) molecules are approximately 80 nucleotides in length. Their secondary structure includes four short double-helical elements and three loops (D, anti-codon, and T loops). Further hydrogen bonds mediate the characteristic L-shaped molecular structure. tRNAs have two regions of fundamental functional importance: the anti-codon, which is responsible for specific mRNA codon recognition, and the 3' end, to which the tRNAs corresponding amino acid is attached (by aminoacyl-tRNA synthetases). tRNAs cope with the degeneracy of the genetic code in two manners: having more than one tRNA (with a specific anti-codon) for a particular amino acid; and 'wobble' base-pairing, i.e. permitting non-standard base-pairing at the 3rd anti-codon position. RNAcentral also lists the same sequence under 23 other names. Lineage: Bacteria; Pseudomonadati; Pseudomonadota; Gammaproteobacteria; Pseudomonadales; Pseudomonadaceae. The record is from RNAcentral.
GCGGACGUGGUGAAAUUGGUAGACACGCUGGAUUUAGGUUCCAGUGGCGCAAGCUGUGAGAGUUCGAGUCUCUCCGUCCGCACCA